Molecule: ribosomal RNA, 1178 nt
Filed under: Microbacterium sp.
Lineage: Bacteria; Bacillati; Actinomycetota; Actinomycetes; Micrococcales; Microbacteriaceae
Description: bacterial SSU rRNA
Rfam family: Bacterial small subunit ribosomal RNA
Source: RNAcentral
AACGGUGAACACGGAGCUUGCUCUGUGGGAUCAGUGGCGAACGGGUGAGUAACACGUGAGCAACCUGCCCCUGACUCUGGGAUAAGCGCUGGAAACGGCGUCUAAUACUGGAUAUGUGACGUGACCGCAUGGUCUGCGUCUGGAAAGAAUUUCGGUUGGGGAUGGGCUCGCGGCCUAUCAGCUUGUUGGUGAGGUAAUGGCUCACCAAGGCGUCGACGGGUAGCCGGCCUGAGAGGGUGACCGGCCACACUGGGACUGAGACACGGCCCAGACUCCUACGGGAGGCAGCAGUGGGGAAUAUUGCACAAUGGGCGCAAGCCUGAUGCAGCAACGCCGCGUGAGGGACGACGGCCUUCGGGUUGUAAACCUCUUUUAGCAGGGAAGAAGCGAAAGUGACGGUACCUGCAGAAAAAGCGCCGGCUAACUACGUGCCAGCAGCCGCGGUAAUACGUAGGGCGCAAGCGUUAUCCGGAAUUAUUGGGCGUAAAGAGCUCGUAGGCGGUUUGUCGCGUCUGCUGUGAAAUCCGGAGGCUCAACCUCCGGCCUGCAGUGGGUACGGGCAGACUAGAGUGCGGUAGGGGAGAUUGGAAUUCCUGGUGUAGCGGUGGAAUGCGCAGAUAUCAGGAGGAACACCGAUGGCGAAGGCAGAUCUCUGGGCCGUAACUGACGCUGAGGAGCGAAAGGGUGGGGAGCAAACAGGCUUAGAUACCCUGGUAGUCCACCCCGUAAACGUUGGGAACUAGUUGUGGGGUCCAUUCCACGGAUUCCGUGACGCAGCUAACGCAUUAAGUUCCCCGCCUGGGGAGUACGGCCGCAAGGCUAAAACUCAAAGGAAUUGACGGGGACCCGCACAAGCGGCGGAGCAUGCGGAUUAAUUCGAUGCAACGCGAAGAACCUUACCAAGGCUUGACAUAUACGAGAACGGGCCAGAAAUGGUCAACUCUUUGGACACUCGUAAACAGGUGGUGCAUGGUUGUCGUCAGCUCGUGUCGUGAGAUGUUGGGUUAAGUCCCGCAACGAGCGCAACCCUCGUUCUAUGUUGCCAGCACGUAAUGGUGGGAACUCAUGGGAUACUGCCGGGGUCAANUCGGAGGAAGGUGGGGAUGACGUCAAAUCAUCAUGCCCCUUAUGUCUUGGGCUUCMGCAUGCUACAUGGCCGGUACAAGGGCUGCAAUACC